UUAGGACGAACGCUGGCGGCGUGCCUAAUACAUGCAAGUCGAACGGUCUUUCUAUGGAAGCUUGCUUCCACUGAGAAGAUAGUGGCGAACGGGUGAGUAACACGUGGGUAACCUGCCCAUAAGAGGGGGGAUAACAUCCGGAAACGGGUGCUAAUACCGCAUAGUUUUCUUGAUCGCAUGAUCGGGAAAGGAAAGACGGCCUUUGUGCUGUCGCUUAUGGAUGGACCCGCGGCGUAUUAGUUAGUUGGUGAGGUAACGGCUCACCAAGACGAUGAUACGUAGCCGACCUGAGAGGGUGAUCGGCCACAUUGGGACUGAGACACGGCCCAAACUCCUACGGGAGGCAGCAGUAGGGAAUCUUCCGCAAUGGACGAAAGUCUGACGGAGCAACGCCGCGUGAGUGAAGAAAGGUUUUCGGAUCGUAAAACUCUGUUGUCAGAGAAGAACAAGUUGGAGAGUAACUGCUCCAGCCUUGACGGUAUCUGACCAGAAAGCCACGGCUAACUACGUGCCAGCAGCCGC
This 522-nucleotide ribosomal RNA is filed under the name uncultured bacterium. RNAcentral describes it as "bacterial SSU rRNA". It matches the Rfam family "Bacterial small subunit ribosomal RNA", at positions 24 to 518 of the family's 1533-position model. The record is from RNAcentral.